Molecule: transfer RNA, 91 nt
Filed under: Lentinula edodes (shiitake mushroom)
Lineage: Eukaryota; Fungi; Basidiomycota; Agaricomycetes; Agaricales; Omphalotaceae
Description: tRNA-Gly
Rfam family: tRNA
About the family: Transfer RNA (tRNA) molecules are approximately 80 nucleotides in length. Their secondary structure includes four short double-helical elements and three loops (D, anti-codon, and T loops).
Source: RNAcentral
ACACCGUUGGUGAAGUGGUUAUCAUGCUUGCCUUCCAUUUGGAUCAGCUUCGAAUCAGCAAGCGGCUCGGGUUCGAUUCCCGAACGGUGUA